CCUCGCGCGUGUGAGGGAGAGGACACUGUGCAGCAGAGUCCAUGUAGAUAAAAGGACACUUUCUCUGCAGCUUUUACUCUCUCACUCUCUCACCCUCUCACACCGUCUCUCCUCUCCUCUCCUCUCCUCUCCUCUCCUCUCCUCGGAUGUGAUCAAACGCGUCACUGCUGAAACACGGGAAAUAUCCGGCAGAAACACCGAUGGUGGAUAUUGUGUGGAGUUAAUCUGAUGUGCAAGACAAUGGCAGCAGCAGCAGCAGCAGCAUCUGCCCUAAAGUUUGCACCAACUCCAAAUGAAGCCAAACUGCACCAGAGAGGAGGAGGAGCUGCAGUCGUCCUGCAGAUAGAAUCAUGGAGUGGGUGGAUGGAAAGCUGGAUAAAGGCUGGUAGAUGACUGAACUCAGAGCCCCAGCACAGCUCAUCAUCAUUGCCAUGGGCUCUCAUCUUCCUCCUCUCCUCCUCUGGCCCAUACCUCCAUCCAAGGGUCCAGUUGAGGCAGUGAAGCCCAGGCAGGGGGCUAGUGAGUGGGCUGGGAAGGAUGGAAAAGGUCCCUGAAGGCUCGAAGCACCUCUGGAGCUCCCGUCAUGCAGGAGAAAUCAAUAUGAAACACAAAGCCUACACAGCUCUGAGUUGGGUUUCCUGUGUUAUUCUGUGGCCUUGGGGCCCACAGACCUCCAAAGUACGGGCCCCUGCAUGGCCCUCUUGGCUGCAGCUCUGGCACCGAAGACUGGACCUCAAGUCUCGAUCUACGCCGGCUGUGUGUGUGGUUCUGCUGAAGGGGAAUUCUCCCCAAAUAAUAUCCAAUACUGAGACUGCUUAAAGAUUGCCGAGAGGGAUAUUCCUUUCUCUUGAUUUUUUUUUUUUUUUCUUCGUAAGAUUGACAUAUCCCCCAUUCUCUGCCUCUGGCUGUUUAAAUACCCGUUUUGGAGAUCCGCUUUUGACUCGCUCUCCAUCUACAAGUUGUUUAUUCCCUGACAAAUGUUUUACAUUUGACAAAGAGAGACUGCUCUGUCUGUAUUUUUUCUCUUCCUCUCGUGGGUUUGCUGUUACUAUGGUGAGCUGUGGUCAUGUGACUGUUCAAACACAUGAAGUAUGAGCAUCUUUUUUUUUUUCCUCCACUCUGUCAGACUGAUUAAAAGCUGACAAAAACCACAAAGAGGGCCGAAGAUCACAAAGCAGAGACCUUCCCACCUUACAGUGAAAACAGUGAA
Molecule: long non-coding RNA, 1210 nt
Organism: Solea solea (common sole)
Lineage: Eukaryota; Metazoa; Chordata; Actinopteri; Pleuronectiformes; Soleidae
Exons: 3
Source: RefSeq, a predicted model, not a curated record